AUUUGAAUUUGCGUGGCUGAGCUGACAGUUGAGCUUGUGUUCUGCAGUGAGAAGCUACUGGGUGACAGCGAGAGAUUUACCUCAGACGAUGGUGCUUCAGUGUUGCACAAGCUGAUUUUCUGAGAGAUUUAUAUGAGAGGAAGAGUCUCCAAACACUGCAGCUGACUUCUGAUUCGUUGGAGACAGCCUUGGAG
This is a long non-coding RNA of Carassius auratus (goldfish), 194 nucleotides long. RefSeq lists it as uncharacterized. Lineage: Eukaryota; Metazoa; Chordata; Actinopteri; Cypriniformes; Cyprinidae. The record is from RefSeq and is a predicted model, not a curated record. The transcript is spliced from 3 exons.